Molecule: ribosomal RNA, 301 nt
Filed under: uncultured bacterium
Lineage: Bacteria
Description: partial 16S ribosomal RNA
Rfam family: Bacterial small subunit ribosomal RNA
Source: RNAcentral
CAGUCGCCGCGGUAAUACAGAAGAUGCAAGCGUUAUCCGGAAUGAUUGGGCGUAAAGCGUCUGUAGGUGGCUUUUCAAGUCCACCGUCAAAUCCCAGGGCUCAACCCUGGACAGGCGGUGGAAACUACCAAGCUAGAGUACGGUAGGGGCUAAGGGAAUUUUCGGUGGAGCGGUGAAAUGCGUUGAGAUCGGAAAGAACACCAACGGCGAAAGCACUCCGCUGGGCCGACACUGACACUGAGAGACGAAAGCUAGGGGAGCAAAUGGGAUUAGAUACCCCCGUAGUCCCUGUCUCUUAUAC